GAUCGUGAAUUUUAUAGUUAAAGAGGAGCCCAGUAAAAAUAAGCUAUAAAUAUCAUGGAAUGCAUCACAUUACUUGAGAUGUGAUUCUCAUGCAUCUUGAUCUAAUGAGUUAUAAUCCGCCUUUCUGAAUCAAAUGUAGCUUAAUGAAAGAAAUUGAAAACAGAACAAUUUGAACACACUGCACAUUAUAAAACCGUAAUUUCCAGCAGAGGCACCCACCAAAAGAUGGAACCUUAACUAUUACGCGAAAGUCGGCCUAAAAAUCCAGGUCUUUAAAUAUAUAUAUAUAUAUAUGAAGCCACAACGUAACGCCUAUGGGCGAAUCUCUGGGAC
RNAcentral lists this long non-coding RNA (333 nucleotides) under Amborella trichopoda. Its description in RNAcentral is "long non-coding RNA (ATRI_LNC005225)". Lineage: Eukaryota; Viridiplantae; Streptophyta; Magnoliopsida; Amborellales; Amborellaceae. The record is from RNAcentral.